Molecule: non-coding RNA, 2004 nt
Organism: Podarcis muralis (Common wall lizard)
Lineage: Eukaryota; Metazoa; Chordata; Lepidosauria; Squamata; Lacertidae
Source: RefSeq, a predicted model, not a curated record
ACCUUUAGAAGGCAAUGAGUCCAAAAACCCCCACCCUUCUCCUCCUUAAGAUUUUACAGACGGGAGGGAUGUGGCUCAGACAAGAGAUAAGAUACUCCCGUCUGGGUAAAGAGAGGGAGGGAAUAAUAAAGAGACUUUGAACUCCCCUUGUUGGCGGAGUCCCCUUGUAGGUGGGGAAAGGGGGGCAGGUGAUUUUGUAUGCAAAGGGAGGGUCUCUGGAGGAUUAUUGUGUGUCUUCCAUAACUUCUAGAUGUCACAUGCUUUAGUGAGACCAGAAAAAUAGAACCAUAACUCCCAGUCAAGUCAUUUUGUGUAGCUAAGAGGGAAGAAAUAUGCCAACCUCAGCUGUGGACAAAUGUGUACUUUCAUAUAUAUUUUCACUUAAUGCAAAGCCUUCUCAGAAAGUUUUAAACACCUAAGUGACAGGAGUAGAUGGAUCUAAUGACUGAGCUGAUCUCUUUCUACUGGCAACAGAUUUGAGUUUGAAUUCAGUUAUAAAUAUAUGUAUUUCAAAAGAACGUGAAACAAUCUGAACCCCAACUUAGCUUUGAUGCUCUGUAACAAUAAACCCAGUUGUAGGUGCUCCCAUCAGACAAACUGGGUUGACUAUUUCCAAGAAAAUCAGGGUUGUCUUUUUCUUGGUGUUUAGAGCUAGUUCAUACAACACAGUUCCUUUAUCCAAGCAAUCCCACGUGAUUAUUGACUAUGUGUUUAACAACGAUGGUGGGUGGGGGGAAUUCAUUUUACUUUGCUGCUUUAUCUGGGAAAACCCGCUGUUUACUGCUGAAUUUGAACAAAUGUCAAUCUGCAGGAAACCCGAUUGACAUUUCUUAACGAUCCAGUGGUAGAGAAGGGAUUUCCCCGGGGAAAGCAGCGGGGCAAGGGCAAAACCGCUCGGACCUGUGCCUGGGAAGCACAAGACAAGUGGAAGUUUGGACAAGGCCAAAGUGUCCUGGUGGGGCUCUGCUUGGCCACAGUAGUUCCCCCAAGGCCUCUCUUUUGGUUAAUGCAAAAUAACAAGGGCAGUCAUAUUAAAGGCACAUAUUACAUUGUGGGACUUACACAUAGUGGAUAUUUUAAAUGUUAUGUUCUUAAGGUCCCUCCAAACAUUUCUGUUGCUCUGAUUUGUAGGAUGAAGCUCAGAAGAAAGAAGGAGGUUUCCAUGAAAUGCUGAUCUGGAGGACCGGUUCCUGGAACCUCUCAAUUUUCUUCCUCAUCUGAGCAGAUUUUGCAAAGACUCAGAAGAAGAGACUUCUCGGUCAAAUACAAAAAAAGCCUGGGCUCCAUACAAGAUGGCAGUGACAACGUGGGUAGCCAUACCAUGCUCAAAUACAGAUGGGAAUUUGCCUGAUCCUUCCACUUCAACCAGUCCCCCCAGAAAACUGACUCUGAGUGAUGCCGAGGCAUUGAGGGCAGAGGUCUUAUCUUCAAUGGAAUCAGAAGCAAUGAUCUCAAUUUCAGUCUUGGGCUGCCUUUGGAUACUCAAGUCCUUCCGAACAUAGGAAACUCAUUUUCUGUGUCCCAUGCCCCCAGGAAUGUCCUCUUGGUAAGCACCAUUUGUGAAUUAUGUGCCACAGGAAUCUAUAUGCUUUCUGGUAUUCUCAAAGAAUAUCACAAUUAAGUGCUUUAAGAACUCAAGUGGAUGCUAUCCUGACCUGAUUUGUCACCACAACCUGUCUCAUUUCCUCUCAAACUCUCUUCCAAAGUACGUUAGUUCAGGCACUGGGAUCGGCCCUCAGUCUUCUGUCAUGAAGACAGAUGCAAAUACUUCAUUCAGCUUCUCCUCAAUCUCCUUAUCCUCCAUUAGCCGUCCUUUGACUCCCUGGUCAUCAAAGUGUCCAACCUCCUCCAUAGAUGGUCUCCUGCCACAAAGGUAUUUAAAGAACUUCCUGUUGCUGGUUUUAAUGUUUUUCAUAAUGUACCGUAUUUUUUGCUCUAUAAGACUCACUUUUUCCCUCCUAAAAAGUAAGGGGAAAUGUCUGUGCAUCUUAUGGAGAGAAUGCA